AAUGACUCAAGAAGCACAGCCUAAUGAUGAGAAAAUAACUGAUGAAGCUCAGGCCAAUGAUGAGAAAGUGGCAAAUGAAGAUCACCCUAGUGAAGGGAAAUCGCCUCAGGAAGCUCAGCUUAGUGAUGGGAAAACAUCUCAGGAACCUCAGCCUAAUGACGGGAAAAUCUCUCAGGAACCUCAACCUAAUGAAGGAAACACCAUUUAUGGAGCACAACCUCAUGAUGGAAAAAUCACUUAUGAAGAACAGCCUAAUGAGGUGAAAAUGACUUCUGAAGUACAGCCUAAGUAUGAGAAGAUGAGUCCUGAAGCCAAGCCUAAGUAUGAG
Molecule: long non-coding RNA, 328 nt
Filed under: Citrus x clementina
Lineage: Eukaryota; Viridiplantae; Streptophyta; Magnoliopsida; Sapindales; Rutaceae
Description: Citrus clementina (C. clementina) long non-coding RNA (CCLE_LNC006865)
Source: RNAcentral